Molecule: long non-coding RNA, 213 nt
Filed under: Homo sapiens (human)
Lineage: Eukaryota; Metazoa; Chordata; Mammalia; Primates; Hominidae
Description: HSALNT0127266
Source: RNAcentral
AUCAGGAUUAUAAUGAUUUUCCUGCUCCUGUCCCUCAAAUAUCUCUCGUAAUGUAAUUUCCCUCAGGAUUUUUUUAAUAGUCCGUAUUUACUAAUACAAAAAUAUUCACCACAACUUACAGGCUAAAGAGGUAGGUGGAUCAGUAUCAUCUUGGAAGAGAAUUGAGACAUUGAUCAAGAGAAAAAGACUCUGAGAGGCUGACUUUACAAAACC